Misgurnus anguillicaudatus (oriental weatherfish) is the source of this 3120-nucleotide non-coding RNA. The record is from RefSeq and is a predicted model, not a curated record. Lineage: Eukaryota; Metazoa; Chordata; Actinopteri; Cypriniformes; Cobitidae.
ACAGGAAAAGUGCCAGAGUAUUUUUUCCAGAGUUAAUAUUUUUUUCCUCCAAAAGAGUUGUUUUUGCUCCGUUUUGAGUAAACAAAGUAAAAUGUGUCAGUAGAGUGGGAGCAAAAUUACAGAGUAACUGUAACAGAGUAAAAUUUUUCCCUCCUAAUUUCCGUUUAUCUGCCAUUGCUGUAUAUAAUGUUAAAACAGAGUAACAAUAAAGAUUAAUGACACGCCUGCAUAUACUUCUUUUGUAAAAAAAUAAACAAACAACUUCUCAAAAAAUAGCAUUUAAUAACUAAUCUAAAUUAAACUAAUUACAAAAAUGAACACUUAAAAGUACGUAAACAUAAUAAAUAACUAAAAGAACAGAAACCAUCUUUGGGGAUAAUAUCUGUAUAUAAGUGUACUUAGAUUUUUAAGUUUGGUUCACGUAGCAUUCGAUUACAUAGAGUUUGCGGGCUUUAUGACCUACACGGCACCCCGCCACCAGAGGGCGAUAGAAAUAUUGGCUUCACUCACCGUGACUCCCUUGGUAACGGCCAUAUCGAUCACUGCUGGUUAAGAAGACAAGCUGCUUUCUGCUGGAUGGUGAAGUAAGUGAAUUUUCUAAAUCUUAGUAUUAAUUUCCAGAAUAUUAGCCUCUGUUUUGAUCUUAGUCAUUUUGCCACGUUUUUUAAUAUUACAGAGUUAACUUUCUCACGUGAGAACUAACUUAGUCUAUAAUUUAAAACUUACAGGUUAUAUAAGUUAAUUACACGUAUAGACGUUAUCUGGAAAGCACAUAACUAACAUACUGAUUACGAAUGUUAACUGACACGGGUGAGACUUGCUUACUGCCUAUGAAAUGUUUGUAACUUAAUAUUUUGGCGGGCGUUUUGAGUUUUACCUCAUGUAUUUGACUCAGUAAAGAGUUAAGUGAGCGUUAGUCAGUUUGGUUUGCAUUAUCCCUUUCAGACGAUAACGUGAGCUGUUGUAACUUAAAGUAUGAUGUUUAAAUUUGUGUUUCUGGUUGCUUCAGGAUGUAAACCAACAGCUUUGUCAAAGUAAAGUGAAGUUAAACUGACGAGCGUCUGGAGUUGGGCACCACAUGUACGUGACUCGGAUGCAAACCAACAAUGUUGUCAGAGUAAAGUUCAAAGACAGCAAGAAAUAUAUUUUCUCUUUACAACCAUUUCACACAUUUUUUGAAUGUGUUGCCAAGAAGUUUAAUCUUCCUACAAUGAAUGUCUUUGAUGACAUAAAGACAGAGGUUGAUGAGGAAUAAUAUCUGCUGACAUGACCAGACUUUGGUGUCCUAGAAAUCUUCAUCCCAGAAAGCACAACAAGCCUUGAUGGGCACGUCAGAGUCUGAUGGGACCGCAGUGCUGAUUAGAAAUCCUCCUGAAAAAAAUCAAGCCGAGGAAUGUCAUCUAGUCCAGAUGAUUGAAAAUAUCCUAAAGGGCAGCCCUGGAGGCGAGAAGGUCAUAAAGGAAUACGCUCAAACAAAGUCUUUCGGAUGGCCAAAGACGUGACAUGGUGAAAAUCUUGGUAGCACAUUUAACAACGGAACAUGGAUCUUGCCCUUACCGAAGUUUGAAGGAAGAAUGUGCAAAGGGUAUUAUCUCCAUAUUCCCAUGCUUUGCUGACCCCAGGAGCAAGCUUAGUUAUGAGCAUUAUUACAAUGCAGAAGAUAGAAGUGGAUAUUUGGUGUGGAGAAUUAAAACUUUCCAAAAAGAAGCAUCAGAGGGACGGAUAAAAUGGCCACAGCAACCACAAACAGGUGCAUGAUUUGCAGAUUGAUCAAGAUUUUGGACUUCUAUUUGGUGAGGCGACCGCUGCAAAGUUGUUGGAGAAGUGGUCUACCAACAUAAAACCUAAGGUCAUUGCACAGACCCGUGACCUCACACAGACUUGUAAGCAUCCAAAAUGCUGAAGCCACUGAAGUUGAAGAUGGUAAUUAUUGUGCUUUACAAGUUAUAAAUUCAUGAAGAAUGGCUUUAGAUCUAUAGUUUCAAUUGUAUUCACAAUGUUACCCAUCAGACAUGCAUUAUUCGUAUGCAGCACAGAUUUAAGUAAAUAAUCAGAAUAAAAAUUACCGCUUUCUCUUAACAUUUCUACCUUGACCUUAGUGAUGUUGAAAUGAGGUCAUACAGUUAAACAUUAUUUACUACAUUUAAUCCAUGCUUUUGUUAUUUAGAGUCCCAAAUGAAAACAGUUUUAAACUGUAAAUCUUCAACUCACGUACUAGGCCCUUGUGAAAACCCAUCUGAAAGUGCUCUAUUUUUACACACUAAUUUUGUACUUUAUAUACAAAAAAAAUAUUCUUCUUUAGUACUUCUUAAAGAAAAUCUUAAGAACAUCUAAGUAUACUUGUUUGUACUAUUUUGAGACACCAUGAAUAUGAACUUAAUUGUGCUUAAAAUAUAUAUUUAAAAAAUGUAUUUAGGUACUGCUUGUAGUAAACUUAAACCCAUCUUUCAUACAAAAAAGUGGUAAAUAAAUACAUUUUUUAAAUAUAUUUUAAGCACAUUUUAGUUUAUAUUCAUGGUGUCUAAAAAAUAGCACAAUCAUUUUUAAGUUUAUUAAGUACAAAAUUAGUGUGCGAAAAGAGAGCACUUUCAGUACAUUAUUGAAGUGUACUUCUUUUACAGUUUGGUUUUCACAAGGGCCUAGUACAUGAGUUGCAGAUUUACACUUUUAAAUUGUUUUAAUUUGGGACUCUGAUAACAUAUGGUUUAUAUAUUGUAAAUAAAGUUUAAAGGGGACAUAUCAUGAAAAUCUGACUUUUUCCUUGUUUAAGUGCUAUAAUUGGGUCCCCAGUGCUUCUAUCAACAGAGAAAAUGUGAAAAAGAUCAACCCAGUAACUUAGUUUUGAUAAACCAUUCUUUGCAAGCAUGUGAAAAAAUAGCUCAUUUAAAUUUGGCUCCCCUUGUGAUGUAAGAAGGGGAUCUUAUAAUAGAUCUUAUAAUAAUACCGCCUCUUAAUCUGCACUAUUCAACCACUGCCAUUUAGUGCAGCUCAUUUGCAUUUAAAAGGACACACCCAACAACUGCACAUUUUUUUCUCACACCUACAAAGUGUCAAUUUUAACAUGUUACAAUAAAUUGUCUAUAUGGUAUUUUGAGCUAGAACUUCACAUACAUGCUCUGG